CUGCUUCCUGACUCUUGGAAACAAAGCCUGUACCGUGGGCCCUGUCGCUUCAACAAAUUUGGUGCCAAACAUGCUAUGCCAUGGGGCAGUUUGACAAUCUAAGAAGAUUAAUUGAGCAUAUACAUUUGAGAUCUUCCAAGCUGUCUGCAAAGAUGACACACUACACAAGACAAAAUUCAGACUGAUGAUGUAGCAGACAGCAAAAACAACUCUCUCUCUGAGCAAAUAGGCUUGUAUAAAGAUGUCUAGUUGGAAUCCACAGCGGGUGUAAAAUGAAGAGGAUUAUUCUCUGCAGCAGCACAGCCAUAUUACUGUCAUAACUUACACACUAGGUGUUUCUCUCAGGUCUUAACUCUUAACUGUACCUCUUUAAAGCCCAAUAUACAGACAUUCAAAAAGAAAAUAUGUGCAUUUGUUUGGCAAGGGCCUACUGUCUUCUAUAUAAAAUAAAUAAAUAACUUCCAGGAGAGGAAAAAGCCUUGGAGAAAGCAAG
This is a long non-coding RNA of Cygnus olor (mute swan), 493 nucleotides long. RefSeq lists it as uncharacterized. The record is from RefSeq and is a predicted model, not a curated record. The transcript is spliced from 3 exons. Lineage: Eukaryota; Metazoa; Chordata; Aves; Anseriformes; Anatidae.